RNAcentral lists this long non-coding RNA (1462 nucleotides) under Lathyrus oleraceus (garden pea). RNAcentral's name for it is "Pisum sativum (pea) long non-coding RNA (PSAT_LNC011672)". The record is from RNAcentral. Lineage: Eukaryota; Viridiplantae; Streptophyta; Magnoliopsida; Fabales; Fabaceae.
GUGGCGUAGUCGUAAUGGUUCAGUCGGAAGAUCCGUGACAGGUUGAAGCGAUAUGAAGAUGAAAAGGGUUUAGUUGUGCGGUGGUCGACGGCGUGGGUUACUUCGGUGGCGGAGUUCGAUCCACGGUGGAAGGAAAAAGAAGAGUGAGGUUGUUUAGAUCGCAGUCAGCUUGGUAGAUGGCGUUGAAGGGAAUUCGCGGCGGCCAUGGCGGUUAGCCGGAAGUUGUUGAAGGAUGUUAAGGGCGGAGAAUUCGAGACGUACGGUGGAGUGUGUAUGUUAUGGUGGUGUUUGUUGGAAGGUUUGAGUUUAUGAAGAAGAAGAGGAUUUGAAGGAAUUGAGUGGGUAAGGGUGUGACGGCAGUGCGUUUUUUCAAGGGGAAGAAGAAGGUGGAUUUCAGUGUUUUGUGUGUGUGACGUUUGGGAGCAGAAGAAGUAUUCCUCCCUUUUUGUUUUUUUCUGUCCCAUGAGUCCCCUUUUUCUUGAGACAGAGUGGUGAUCCCCACGUGAAGAAGAAAUCUCUUUGUUUCCCCUUUUUCCCCGUUAGCCAGCUGUUCCUCCAUUAAUAAAAUCCCAUUUUUGUUCUUAUCCCAUCUCUCCCAAUAACAUGAUGCCACGUUUCAUGUUGAGAGUAUGGAUAAAAAAUCUUCUCAAAUGCAAGCUGUCAAACGUGUAUCUUUCACAAGUAUACAACUUUAUUUUUAAUUUUUAAUUUUUAAUGUUAAUAUUAAUAUUAUUUGAUUUUUCAUGAUUAAUAUUAUUAUUAAUUGAUUUUUGAUUGGAUAAUGGAAUAUGAUAACGAUUGCAAAUGAGAUCCGUGGAUUAAUUUGUAUCAACGAUCCUGAUUAAUCCAAAGAAGCACAAGCAAUUUUAAAAUGUCCGAUAUGUCCCUUUUAUAUGAUUUUAAUUGAUUUAAAAUAAUUUAAAUCAUCAAAUCAAAUUAAAUUCGCAUCUUUCUAAAUACAUACGAUAAAAAUAAAAUGAGAAUACGAAAAAUUCUAUUUAUUUCUUUUGAACAUUUUGGCGAAAGAAUAAAAAUAAAAUGACUAAAAAUUAAUAAAAGUCGGACGAAAAUUUGUUUAAAAAAUUAAAUCGGACGCACUAAAAUGAUCAGCGCGAAAUAUACUUAUUGAAAAAAUACAUCAUUUCUUUUAAUUUUGAAAUAAAUUUUGACCGAUUGAAAGGCUUAGACGGAUCAAAAUGCGAUUGAAAAAGUCGUCGAAAAAUAUAACGAGCACACCAUGUUAAACUACGCAGACCAUAGAUUAAUAAUACUGGCGUAUGCAAGUUUAAUUUUGAAACUUUUUACACGCUGAUUUUGCACGUACUUGAGAAAUGAUUUAACCAAUUUGUCUAUAUUUUCAAUAAUUUAUUUCGACCGAUAUUUUAAGUAUUAUUCAUGAUGAAAUGCAUGUUAUGCUGUACAACUGAUGCAAAUUAAAAAUGAAAUCAAGUUUAUGAAAAAU